ACGGGGGGUGCGAGCGUUGUCCGGAAUCACUGGGCGUAAAGGGCGCGUAGGCGGCGCGACAGGGCGGCGGUGAAAGUCCGGGGCUCAACCCCGGAUCGGCCGUGGCGACUGUCGCGCUCGAGCACAGUAGAGGCGGGUGGAAUUCCGGGUGUAGCGGUGGAAUGCGUAGAGAUCCGGAGGAACCCCAGAGGCGAAGGCGGCCCCCUGGCUCGUACCUGACGCUCAGCCACGAAAGCAUGGGGAGCGAACGGGA
Molecule: ribosomal RNA, 253 nt
Filed under: uncultured prokaryote
Description: partial 16S ribosomal RNA
Rfam family: Bacterial small subunit ribosomal RNA
Source: RNAcentral